This 492-nucleotide ribosomal RNA is filed under the name uncultured bacterium. RNAcentral's name for it is "partial 16S ribosomal RNA". It matches the Rfam family "Bacterial small subunit ribosomal RNA", at positions 29 to 507 of the family's 1533-position model. The record is from RNAcentral.
AGCGAACGCUGGCGGCAGGCCUAACACAUGCAAGUCGAACGGUAGCACAGUAAGUGCUUGCUCUAACGGGUGGCGAGUGGCGGACGGGUGAGGAAUACACCGGAAUCUACUUUUUCGUGGGGGAUAACGUAGGGAAACUUACGCUAAUAACGCAUACGACCUGCGGGUGAAAGCAGGGGAUCUUUGGACCUUGUGCGAUUGAAUGAGCCGAUGUCGGAUUAGCUAGUUGGCGGGGUAAAGGCCCACCACGGCGACGAUCCGUAGCGGGUCUGAGAGGAUGAUCAGCCACACGGGAACUGAGACACGGUCCAGACUCCGAGGAGGAGCAGCAGUGGGGAAUAUUGGGCGAGGGAGGCGAGGCGGAUCCAGGCAUACCGCGUGGGUGCAGAUGGCCUUCGGGUUGGAAAGCCAUUUUGUUGGGAAGGAAAAGCAGCAGGUUAAUACCCCGCUGUUCUGACGGUACCCGAAUAAUAAGCACCGGCUAACUUCGUG